UCUGUACCGUCUCCUCUCCCCUAGCUUCAUUUCUCCCUUGGAUGUUUAUUCUUGAAGACAUGGAGGUCUCCAAGAUCAAGAUGCCAGGCUUGUGCUUGCUGCUGCUCAUGCCACUCCUGUUGCUUCCUGGAUCUGAAGCAGGCGAUUAUUGCAAGUGGUUCAGCAAGACCUACACUACUUUUCACUGUGCGGACAGCCCAUGCGCUGAGCACUGCCGCAACGAGGGCUUCCCUCGUGGGUGGUGUGAGUUCGUCGCCUUAGAACCUCUCGCCUUAGUCUGCUUCUGCAGGAAACCCUGCUGAUGAUGCUUGUGAAGUAAUAAUACUGUUGUGUGUUUAUAAGGAAGUGUACAUGUGAACUUCUAUGUCGUAUUUGCCGUGAAGAGCAGAUCAGUAUAAUAAAGGUGAAGUUGCAAUAGUCUGCCUCCCUUUUGGGUUCAUCCUGAUGAGCAGGAAUCAUAUUAAGCUCUUGAUGGUCCUCUCUGCUGAUGAAAUCUUUUAUUGGUGUGAAUAAGUAGAGACUGAUGCCUUUGUCUCUUGUAUUAUUGGAAUCAAAACAGAGCAUGCUACAAAUGCAGAGAUAUGGACAUA
Molecule: long non-coding RNA, 590 nt
Organism: Triticum dicoccoides
Lineage: Eukaryota; Viridiplantae; Streptophyta; Magnoliopsida; Poales; Poaceae
Exons: 2
Source: RefSeq, a predicted model, not a curated record